RNAcentral lists this long non-coding RNA (279 nucleotides) under Elaeis guineensis (African oil palm). Its description in RNAcentral is "long non-coding RNA (EGUI_LNC073639)". Lineage: Eukaryota; Viridiplantae; Streptophyta; Magnoliopsida; Arecales; Arecaceae. The record is from RNAcentral.
CAUCCAAGCUUCUACAGUAAGCGAAAUCCUUUUGGACUCCUACAAGGACCGGACUCCAUCCGAACUUUUACAAUAAAAUUUAGCCGACUGUCUCUGAUGUCUUUCAUAUCUCUCUGAGCCGUCCACUUUCAACAGUGCCAAUCGGACUUCCACAAUGUCCUCCAGACUCCUCCAGUGGAUGAACUUCCACAACGCCUUCCGAAUUCUGCUAUCAAGUCGACCUUCUGCCGAAUUCCUCAUGCAACCGGACCUCUCCAGUGGAUAGCCCUCAGACAAGCU